RNAcentral lists this ribosomal RNA (88 nucleotides) under Oxyrrhis marina. Its description in RNAcentral is "partial 5.8S ribosomal RNA". The record is from RNAcentral. Lineage: Eukaryota; Dinophyceae; Oxyrrhinales; Oxyrrhinaceae.
UACCUCAAUCCCAACAUGCUUGCGGUUAUCACAGAGCCCAAGAUUGUGAAGGAGGACCACAAGAGCUUGACCCUGUACCUCAUCGACG